Molecule: non-coding RNA, 14361 nt
Organism: Podarcis lilfordi (Lilford's wall lizard)
Lineage: Eukaryota; Metazoa; Chordata; Lepidosauria; Squamata; Lacertidae
Source: the annotation of a GenBank genome assembly
CAAUAAUGACAGCUAAUAAUGGGUUCCAUGACAUGGCUGACCUAUGAAUGACUUCACACAAAGCUGUUCGGUAACCUUUAAAAACAUAAUUAUACCUGCCUUUCCAGUGUACACUAUUAUUUCAGUGAAUGUGAAGCACACAGAUCUUGCUAUGCAUGCCACUUGAAUUGGUGGUUAUCUUGAAUUCUGAUAAAACUCACAGUAUGUCCACUAUGCAUAGGUUUGAGCCUCAGAUCAGUAGAAGAUGCAUAGGCACUUCAUACUUUCUAGACCUUGUCCAAAGUACACAAGGAUGGGACCUUGUUCAGUCACCUCCCAACAUACAUUCGUUUAAGCAGCCAAAGGAAAACCUGAAGUCCAACAUGAUGAUCAGUUAAGGAAAAUGUAAAUGUAACAACUAUAAUUGAAGUAAAUGUAGCAACUAUAAUUGAAAAUAUAUAUCUGCGUUUGACACCAGUGAGCGCAGUAAUGACGUACAGUAGAGCAGAAAUGGGAGACCCAUGUGGCUGCUGGACUACAGCUCCUAUCAUCCAUGGCCUUUGAUAGCACUGGCUGGAGCUGAUGAGAGGUGGAGCCCCACAUCAUCUGAUGAAGCACAUGUUUUUCUACCCAUGGUAUAUAGAGCAAUGGGGAUAUCAUCAGUGCAAAGGCAAAGGAACAUAAGAAGAUCCCUGGUACCUCAGACCAAAGUCUGCAAAGCCCAGCAUUCUUUCAAGCCGAUCAUGGGAAUCUCACAUUCAGAUGUGUAACUAGGGGUUGGUGAAACUGGACCCCACUGGUGGCACAGGCCCAGUGUGUGUGUGUGUGUGCACGCGCACAAACAAAAAUAACCCCACAUCUCAGACAAUGGAGAGUAUGCUCUGCUGCUGUCACUGUGAGAGAAGCUUCCCGUCUCGCACCAUGGUACAAAAAAUAAAUAAAAAUGCCCUUCUUUCUUGCCUUGCCCUUACUCCAGAUGUUUCAAGUACUUGGGUUGCAUAAAAUAUAGUAGUUUGUAAUGUGGCUAUUGCAGUAAGUAAUUUUUUUUUCCUGGGUGGAAGCCCAACCAAUACAGCUCCCUGUGAAGGGUGCAAGGGACACUAGGUAUACCUCUGUCCACAUAUAGGACAUGAGCACAAUAGCUCUCUUGUGAUCCUUUACAACUGGUAUUCAGAGUGACGCUGCCUCUGAUACUGAAGGUAAUAUAGCCAUCAUCACUAGUAGCCACUGAUGAGCAGGUAAGGUGGUAGAAGUCCAAAAUAUACUUUAACACAUGAGAACACUCCAAUGUAUUAAAUUCCCCUUGCUGGUCCUGGAACACACGACACAAAAAUAUCAGUUUUGAUCAGAGAGUGCAAGUAAUCUGAUGAGUCUCUUGAAUGACUUCAAAGAAUGUAAUUUCAAAAUGUUGUGAUGCAGUAUCAAAAGAACAUGGAAUGUGUGCUUCCCCCACCCUUAUAUUUAGAACCAAACUUCAUUUGCUUUUUCAAUCAGCCAGCCUGACACUUCUUCUCCAGCUAAACCCAGCAGUGUGAGCAUAUGCCCCAGUCUCCCCCAUCCACAUGCACACUAUUCAUUCCUCUUAAAAGUCUUUUAACAAGGCCUACACUUAAAUAUUCUCUUUUUGGAUCCAGUAGGAGCCUUCAAAGCCGAUUAUCUUGAAAAGGCUAUAUGAAUCUAUAGUGAAAUAUUUAUGGUAACUUGUCACCAGCACCUUCAUAUUGCAAUAUUUCUUUUUGUUGUCCAUCCUUCUUCCUCUGCUUAAUGACAGUAUUCCAGUGGUAGUGAAGAAGUCCAUGUGCUGGUAAUGAUGCUCCACUACCCAUGUGAUUGGGAUAUAAGAUGGUUCCUGUCAUUUUCCUUUCACUCAAAGAUGAAGGUGGGUAAAAAGGACUGUCUACUUAAGUAUUUAUAGGCAGUGUUUAUUUUUCCACAACAACAGUGAUAACAGCCUGACACAUGCCAGGAAUAUUAUUGAAGCAAAUUUGCACAUUAUCUAGAAUGGGAAAAAAUUAUACUGAAUAAUUCAUCUUGCUCUAGCCAGUGGUGUGGCGCUUUGGAGUAAUUAUUGUGUAUAAUGACAUCACUUAUUCUCUCCUUUCUACAAAGUGGGCUGUAUGCAACAUUGUCUACUAGUGCAAGGGAUCUUGUGCUAGUGAUGGGUAAAUUUUGAUGUUUAAAUGUUGCACAACAGAGGAAUCAAAUACAAUGGUCGCACAAGCAGAAACUUGUUGAGCAACGGAUUGCACAAUCUAUUGUGCAACAAAGUAAUCAGCAACCUGCUUAUGCAUUUGUGUGUGUGUGCGUGCGUGCAACAAUGACGUUCUACUUGUGCAAAACAUUUCACUAGCAGGAUCAGUUUACCACUCUGUGACUUUAACUUAGUGCUUCAUUGGAUUCCACCUCUGAAAUGUAACUUAUGUCCUUGUCAUUUGCAGUGAUUUUAGCACAACUCUUGAGAAAAAAACUUCAAUAAAUGGUGGGCUUUCUGUAGGGUGAAGUGUUGUCAUGAUUCAAUAAAUAAAUAACAGAAAUGGCCAUUUCCAUAGGUCUGCCUCCACAUGGGUGAUCUCACUGUGUAGUAUGUUGGGAUGCUCCUAAGUACAUUAUUGUGAAGUCAAACCAUUUUCUUACAUUAUUUCAGCACAGAGUUUGAGCAACUGCAAAGGAACAAGUUUGGACUGAGUAAAGUAUUUUCUGGGGAACAUUUUCAGUGUAGGGUGGGGAAAAGAGUUUUUAUGGACUUGGGUGAGGGCAAAGUGUUUCUUCAAAGAUAAUAAAAAGUGUACACUUUCCUGACUGUUCACUAAUGUUUACAGCUUUCUCAGCUAAAUGCUUCCAUACCGUAUUUUAAAAUUUUAACUUCAGUCCUCUUUGUAGAAACGACAUUGUCGCAUAAAAUAACUUUUGGCCAUGUGAUGAUGUCACAUUGUAAAAAGCAAAGUGAAUUGAGAGCAGGGGCAAGAAGAAUGAUGGUUUGAAGUAAAAACUGAAUUGAAGUAAAAAGAGAAUUCCAAAGGAGGUCGCAAAAUGAGGUCUGGCUAUGUGACGAUGUCACAGAAGGGGGAAAUGAAGGUACAUAAGAGUGAAGGCAAAAAGAGUGCUACUUUGAAGGAGCUGGGCAAAAGCUGCCACCAGCUGAUUUACAGAGAUAAUUGCAAUAGAGCUCAAAGCAGAGCAUGAUAGCGAGGUACACGGAAGGUCUUAGUUUUCCUGAACAUCUCUCGGGGGCAUCUUCUCUUUUCUCUGCUCCCCACUGCAACAACCAUAAAAAGCUUUUUUUUAAGGUGCUGAUUAGGAAGAUAAAGCCAUAAUGGAAUGGUUAUUAUUGGGCCUCUUAGCACACAAUUCUUUCAUAAUUUCAUCUCUUUUGCUCAAUGAUGCCAGAGAGAGAGAGAGAGAGAGAGAGAGAGAGAGAGAGAGAGAGAAACUUAACUCAAAGCUAAAUGUAUGCUUUUGGGCAGCAUCGUGGCUUUCCUGAAAGCCACUUUCCCUUAUUGUGAACUUGACUAAAACACAAUGGUGAGUAACUGUUCUGCUUUUCUUACUAGGUCUAAAUUGAGCCGCUUCUGAAAUAAGCAAUAAGAGAAUGUCAAGUCUUAAGUGAAAGCAAGUCCCUGAAGAGUGAUUUGAAGGUAUAGUCUGCUAUUAGAGGAAGCCAGAUAUUAGACAUAAUAGUAGAGAUACCUUUUGAAAGUCUAGGAAUGUCUCAAUAUUUGUGUGCAUGUGUGUCGAAGAAAAGUAGAGUUUCUGAAAGGGUUGCACAUAAUGGGUUGAUCUCAGUGAAAAAUGUGGGGGCGGGGGACGAUGACACACAGGCUAGAAUUACCUGGAGGCCUUUGCAGAAUCUGUUUCUUGUCACAUCUGCUCUUGAAAUUCCCAUAUCUCCCAGGGAAAAAAAAAGUUCCAUCUGGGUUUCUUCGAGUUUGCCCAGUAGAACCCCAGAUCAUGUUUUAAUCUUUAAUCAAUAGUGCAUCUUGCCUUCUGGGAGUGUGAAUCAGAUGUGCAAACUGCAAAUGCACAAGAACAGCUGCUGGGAGGCUUGGCUAGUUUUGGAUAAGAGCAGCGAAGAAGUCUUUGCUUCCUGGGAGAAGUUAUUUCUCCAUUAACUGAAUGUUACUUAGAGCUUCCAUAUGCUUGAUGGUACCUUUCUGAGUAGGCCCAUCCUUCCUUCCUUCCUUCCUUCCUUCCUUCCUUCCUUCCUUCCUUCCUUCCAUCUAUUUCUCUCGCUCUCUCUUUCUUUGUGCGUGCAUAUGAGAGAGAGAGAGAGAGAGAGAGAGAGAGAGUGCACAGAUGGAAAUAUUUCAGAGGGAGGGGGUAUUGUUUGAAGUUUCUUGAUUAUUUCACUCAAGCAAAUGACCACAUUUGCCUCUGUUUUAACUGUAGCUCCUGAUAUUAUUUUGGUUUUUAACCAGGGCCACAUUCCCUUUCAGGCAAUCUUCAAACAGCCACCAAACAAACAAACAAACAAACAAACAAAUUUGUGUACCUGUAUUCAUCUAUAGUUCUCAGGGUGGUUCAUAGCAUAUAAAUAAGAGAUAAAAAGACAAAAUAAAUGCCUGUACAGUAGUGGGUGGGGCCGAGGCAAAAGGUGGUGGAACUACUAACAUAGAUCUUAAUGUGUACCGCAUUGGUAUUGGAGGCUAAUUUCUGCACAUGCUUACUCAUCCUUCUCUGUCCUCUAUCCAGACAAGUAAGAGGCCUAAAUCCAGGACACCUUUCAGUCAGGCAAACAUACUCAGGAACAUAUAUUCCUUUGAUAAUGGAAUCGCUCCCACAGAACUUACAAGUGCACCUCCGCAAAUUUGCUUUAGGUACAGUAAGGGGGUGAUUUUAGUAACAAUUUUAACAUACUGUGGAGGAGUCAUAUGUAGUGGCUGCAUUGAAAUGAGCACUAUUGUGCUCAUGCCCAACUUGUGGGCUUCCCAUAGGCAUCUAGGUGGCCGUUGUUGAAACAGAAUGCUGAACCAGAUCGGUCUCUAGUCUGAUCAGGCAGGGAUCUUUUCUUAUGUUUUGUAAAGCUCCAUAUUAUUGCUGCCAAAAUGUAACCACCAAUGUGCAACCGUGUUAUGGAGAAGCAUCAUUUGAACUCUUUGGGCAUCUUUUCUUCAUGAGAAUAGGGAAACUGUUGUUGGAACUCACUUUAAAGUGUGCAUUAUGUCAGUGUAAAGCAGCCUAACUGGCUUCAGUGCAGCCCAUUGCUUUACUUUGAGCCAUGUCUUACCAACAAUCUCUUUCCAGUAAUUGUGCUUGUCCCCAUAAAGUAAAAGAAUUCAAGAGAAGCAAGGAAGGGGGUGCUGGAUACUGACCCCCCCUUGCUGCUUCCGUAGGAAAAGGGGUGUGGUUUAAACAACCUGGUCACCACGCCCCUUCCCAUUGUCCCCUGCUCCUUUCCCAGCAAGGGUUCAGGUGAGUGCAAAACGCCUUGGGGUGCAGCAAGCUUUGGGGAGGGGCUGGGGGAAGGAUGCAAUGCUAGGGAUGCAAUUCCUAGGGAAAGAAAGUGGCCACGUGUUCAGUUAUGGAAAACUUAAUAAAUAUUACAUACAAAAAUAAAUAAAUAAAAUAAAUACUCAAUGACCUGCCUUUCAAGUAAGUGGAAAGCCAUUUCCGACCUGGGAGGAGAGGGAGUUGCGGGCUAAUCCCUCCCCCACACACCCGGGGGCCGGCCUUUGCCCCCGCGUGAACAGGGAAUCCCCGGGCGUGUCUCCGACCCGGCCCGCCAAUCAGCGGGUCGGGGAGGUGGGGCCUAGCCUAUUUAAGGCCAGGCACGCCCAGGGACCGCCCUCUUUUCCCCUUUCCAGCCGUGAGGUUUUCCCAUCCCACCCACCCUGAGGUUAGGCUCCCUGAGGUAAGGCUAGCUAUGACCUUGCUAUGGACUUCGGUUGGUCGCCGCAAGGGGCCUGGUAGGAAUUUUUUCCAACUUGGCGCAUUUUGAGCCUUUUGGUUUUUUUGCCUACCUCGUAGCAAAUGUCACAACUUCCGCGGUAUUGGCGGUUAGGCAUUGGCAGGGGUUAAUUGUUAUGCAAAUGAAUGGGGGGGAAGGAAGCGCCAUCACCUUUCCCCCCAAUGAAAGGGGUAGUCCGGUAGAGGACUCCGGGGGGCGUUGCCUUGUCCGAAACCUAGGGAGGUAAGGGCCUCUGGCACGCCCCGGCGGUGACACCCGUGGGAUCCUAGUUGGCGUACUUCAACAGGACUCCCACGGCUUGUGGACAACCCUUCCCGGUCCCUAUGCCGGGUAGUCGAUAGGAGCCAAUGCCUAAAGCCAAUACCUUUCAAUUCUGUAAUCAAUAAAGUUGUGGCCUUUUAUGCCCAUUAACCUUAAAUAAUGUGUCCAGUGUCUUCAUUUCACAUGGGGGAGGGGACUUGCCACGCAAAUGAAGCAGCUGGUUGCCAUGGUGAAAUUAUGAUGACACUGUUACUCUGUAGUGGCAGUGCUGAAGUCCUAAAUCAGAUUCAAGGGAGGAUUUGCCCCCAAGGCCCUGCCUACCAGUUAACAGUGACCUAAAGUUUUCCAGUAAAACAUGAAAUGGUGCACACGCUACAUCUUGUUCGUGUGCUUAUCACGCAUGUCCAAAGUCCGUUUUGGGGGUCUGCCCCUUUCCCUUCAAGGGUUCAGGUGAGUGCAAAAUGCCUACUAUAAACGCAUGCAGAAAGACAAACGUAUUUUAUCACUCUACUUCCCAUGUUAAUCACACCACUAUACAACACAAUACAAUAAAAAACCUUUAUUGGCAUUUCAAGUUAAGACAUUCCAAAAUGGCUUGAGAUACAAAGUCUUUCUUCUUCCUGUUUCCUGUUUCCAAGAGAUUUGAAUGGGGAAAUCCUUUCGAUUCUUCAAUAAUAAGAGGCAGUGGGGUGAGGGAGGCCAGGGCCACAUCCACACCAUUUAACGCGCUAUGAAGCCACUUUAAACACUCAUGGCUAAACACCCCCAAAGACUCUGGGAGCUAUAGUUGGAAAAGGGUGCCAAGAGUUGUUAGGGGACCCGUUCCCUGCCAAGAAGGGAACCCUACCUCUACCCCUACCCCUACCCCUGACGCUCACCCUAACUCUAGCCCUAACACUAACCUUUAAGCCUUAACUAGAGCUACAAUUCCCAGAGUUCCCUGGCAAAAAGGGAACCCUAACCCUAAUCCUAAUCCUGCCCCUAACUAGAGCUACAAUUCCCAGAGUUCCCUGCCAAGGGAACCCCACCCCUACCCCUGCCCCUGACGCUAACCUAAUUCUAACCCUUAGCCUUAGUUGGGGCUACAAUUCCCAGGGUUCCCUGGCAAGAAGGAACCCUAACCUAACCCUAACCCUGCCCUAACUAGAGCUACAAUUCCCAGAGUUCCCUGGCAAAAGGGACCCCAGCCCUACCCCUGCUCCUGACGCUAACCCUAACUCUAACCCUUAACUAGAGCUACAAUUCCCAGAGUUCCCUGGCAAGAAGGAACCCUACCCCUACCCCUACCCCUACCCCAACCCCUACCCUACCCCUAGUCCUAAUACUUAACCACCAUAACAAGUCUCCGUCCCCUUAACCACCUACAGUUCCCAGAAUCCCUGAGGGGAAGCCAUUCCUGUUUAAAGCAUCUUCAUAGCACUUUCAGUGGACGGUGCGCCUAAUGUGGCCUAAUGUUUCCUCCCUCAUUUUCUUCUCUCUCCCCACUGCCCCAUCACUUGCAAUGCAGCAGAUGUCCGCCUGCAGUCUCCCUUCAAAGCUCCUUCUCUCAGGUAUGGCCACGGCCUUGUCCAUUGCUCACUGCCAGUAUUUCACGUUCACUUCUCCAAUGUAAAUAGGGAUGUCCUGCGGUUCUCUUGAUGACUUUGAAGGCUGGACUUGGGGAAAACCUCACCAGCUCCAAACAUCCCUGUAAGGCAAAGGCAAACAGGUGAGUGGGAUAGCCAACACCCGACAGCGUCCCCCCAGAUUCCUCCUCUGUUUGGCUGCCUGUUAACAAACAAGGCUUCCAAACCAGUUUACAUCCAUCUCAGCCAGCGUAGCCUUACAACAUCCACUAGCUUGAAUGCAAACUCUUCCAACAACCAUCCACCAGCUGCAACCACGUCAGGUCCAUUGCCAGACAUCAACCAGCUUCAGAGCUGAGUGUCAGUUGCCUUCAAGUAGUGAUCCCACCAGCAACUAAACUUUGUACUUGCCUUCUCCUUGCUCCACAGCAUCCCAGCACCGGGCGAUUGCCUCCUUCCGCUUGCCAGCUUGCCACCAUGGGGCAGGAGACCACCUGGGCUGAGUGCCACCGAGCUGCCCAUUUCUCUCUGGGGAGGGCAACUGCUGAGGCUUGCGCCUUGGCCCACAUUUAUACCCGCUCAACAGCCAAAUGUUUUUGUCACAUCACAAUCAACCCACGGACAAUGGCAGCAGCUGGGGAGGCAUCACCAUCACUCCCUCAGCCCUCACAAUGGUGAGCACAGCUCAGCAGCCAACACACACACACAAGUUGUGCCAAUAUCUGUGAAGGUCACACCGGAAACCCAAAGGGGCAGGAGGGGGACAUUUUUCAGCCCAGUGGUUACAUUUCCCUCCACACAACACUAGUCCAAUACACAAAUGAACAGAGCAAUGAAAGCAAGCCUUAUCUUUGCACAGGAAGUUGUUCAAGGAAUGACAUGCAGAGAGAAAGUUAGCAUCUCAGGAAAAAAACACUUUUUCAUCAGUCAAUCAAUCAAUCAAUCAAUCAAUCAAUCAAUCAUUUAUUGUAUUUGACUAAAACCCAUUAUAAAUCCAGUUACAAAAGCACCAAACCCAAUGACCCAAACUAUAGCUCCCAGAUUCUUGGGGGGAAGAAACCAGGUGGAUGCCAUGUGAACUCAGCGAUGUGUCAAGUGAUGGCUGCAUACUACCUCCAGGUUCAGAGGCGGCAUAUUUCUGUAUAUCAGUUUCUGAGAAUCACGAGGGCUGUGGUGGUCAGAUUCUGCUUGCAAUUUUUGCACAGGCAUCUGUGAGAAUGGGAUGCUGAACUCGGCCACUGGCCUGAUCCAGGCAGCUUUCUUAUGUUACAAAGGAAGACUUCCAAGAGAAUACUUUUAAUGUAGCACUCCAAGAAAUGCUGCAAGUUUCAGAAAGUCACAUAAUGCACUCCAAAAUCAGAAAUUUUGAAACCAUUUCAGCACUGUGUCAUUUUACUUUCUCCCUGCAUCUCUUAUCUGAACUAUGCACUUGCAGUUUCUUUGAGUAUGUUUUUUUUCCAAUUUAAUUUUAUUUGGUAGCCAUUUCUCCCUUUCUGAGGAAGGAACAAAAACAUUUGUAGUUCUCAGUGUCCCUGACUUAAGAGUCUGACUCGUCUUCCCUGCCUACCAAGCGCUCACUGGCUGGUGUGCCUUUCCACUGUAGGGAGAUCAGAAGAGGACCAAUUCAUUAAGCCUAAGCAGCCACCAGCUUGGGUAGGGUUCUUGGCAGGGAACAGGGGGUCCCCUAACAACUCUUGGCACCCUUUUCCAACUAUAGCUCCCAGAGUCUUUGGGGGUGUUUAAGCCAUGAGUGUUUAAAGCGGCUUCAUAGCGCGUUAAAUGGUGUGGAUGUGGCCCUGGCCUCCCUCACCCCACUGCCUCUUAUUAUAGAGGAAUCGAAAGGAUUUCCCCAUUCAAAUCUCUUAGAAACAGGAAACAGGAAGAAGAAAGACUUUCUAUCUCAUGCCAUUUUGAAAUGCUUUAACUUGAAAUGCCAAUAAAGGUUAUUGUAUUGUACUGUAUUGUUUUGUGUUGUGUUGUAUUAGGAUUAACAUGGGAAAUGGAAUAGUAAAAUGUCAAUGAGGUGAACACAAUACUUCUGUAAACUGGCACGCCCCUUCUUGUGGGUGUGGAAGCAACUUGUGGCUGGACAAGCAACUUUAUAAGAUGUGUUUUUCCUGAUGAAGAUGUGCCUGAUCUUGGCUUACCCCAUUUGCAAAAUCCUUAAGCUAAGACUCCAAUACUUUGGCCACCUCAUGAGAAGAGAAGACUCCCUGGAAAAGACCCUGAUGUUGGGAAAGAUGGAGGGCACAAGGAGAAGGGGACGACAGAGGACGAGAUGGUUGGACAGUGUUCUCGAAGCUACCAGCAUGAAUUUGACCAAACUGCGGGAGGCAGUGGAAGACAGGAGUGCCUGGCGUGCUCUGGUCCAUGGGGUCACGAAGAGUUGGGACACGACUAAGUGAUUAAACAACCAAUAAUAAAAAGAUUUCCUAAUUAACUCAUUUUGUCCAGAUCACUUUAUUUAAAAGGAUCCAGAGACCUUAAGUCAAAGGAACCAGUUAGUUAUCUCUCACAGAGGGCAAAAUAAAUAAAUAAUACCAAUCCCUCAACUGUCGAAACAAACAGUCUUGCAGCACUGUACAAACUAACAGAUUAUGGAAAACUUUUUUUAAAUGGGAGGGUCAGGGGGCCUUGGUGGGUGCUAAGGAGGGCUUCUGAGGGUGCCAUGGAGUCCACAUGCCACACGCGUCACAAGGGAGGGGGGUACUCUGUCAUCAUUUCUUUAUUAACAAAUGCCCUCCCCCUUGAGUCCUAGUUUCCUCAGCCCUGUCUAUGUAUGGUCUCCUGUGAUGUCACAAACAAGACACAGCAGCUGAGGGGAAAGAGGCAGUUUCUUAUUCUAGAAUUUGAAACACAGGAGGGCAGGAGGGGGACAUUUUUCAGCCCAGUGUUUACAUUUCCCUCCACACAACACUAGUCAAAUGCACAAAUGAACAGAGCAAUGAAAGCAAGCCUUAUCUUUGCGCAGGAAGCUUUUCAAGGAAUGACAUGCAGAGAGAAAGCACCAAACCCAAGUAAACCUAAUAAAAAUAUAUAUACGUUGUUCUGGAAUGCAGGAAACUCAGCUGAAAUUUAGGAAACGUUUGUCUUUCUGCAUGUGUUUAUAGUAUCCAUACUGCUAUUGGGAAUACUCAAAAUGGGAGGGGGGCCCCCCUCAGCUGCACACCCACCUCCCUUCAUUCUCCCUCCCCCAUCUGCCCAGCAGCUUCCCUGCCUGCUGUCUCCCCCUCCAUCAUCACACUGGCAUUGCAUCCUCCCCUUGUCCCCCCAGCUUGCUGCGCACCAAGGCGUUUUGCACUCACCUGAACCCUUGCAGGGAAAGGGGCAGGGCACAAUGGGAAGGGGCAGGGUGACCGAGCUACUUAAACAACACCCCUUUUCCAACGGAAGCACCAUGGGGGGUGGUCCUCCGAGAGAGAACAACAACAGAACAGAACAAAGAAGAAAGAAGACGGAAGUGGCGCACAGUUCCUUCUGUUCCCUCGCUUCCAAAGAAUGGAAUGUCAACACACAAAGCAUGUGAUCCAGUAUAGACACACACUCUGCAGCACGGGAGAGAAGGAAGCUCCGGAUAUCCAGCACCCCCUUCUCUGCUUCUCUUGAACUCUUUGACUGUAACCCUGUCCAAUCUUUUUUCAAAGAGGGCCAGAUUUGAUGAAGUGAAGGGCCAUGAGGGCCGCCGAAACAGCCAACCCAAGUUGUUAACCUUUUUUUAGGGUUGAAUUUGUUGAGGGUUUUUUUUUUUUAGGAUUUUACCCCAGGAAAUAAAUAAACUGCCACAGGGGCCGGAUUAAACCGACCAGUGGGCUGGAUUAGGCCCCCAAAACAGACUUUGGACAUGCGUGAUAAGCUCACGAACAAGAUGUAGCGUGUGCACCAUUUCAUGUUUUACUGGAAAACUUUAGGUCACUGUUAACUGGUAGGCAGGGCCUUGGGGGCAAAUCCCCCCUUGAAUCUGACUUAGGACUUCAGCACUGCCACUACAGAGUAACAGUGUCAUCAUAAUUUAUAAUAAUAAUAAUAAUAAUAAUAAUAAUAAUAAUAAUAAUAAUAUCUUUAUUGUCAUUGCCCCCUUCGGGGACAACGAAAUUACUUGACUGCUCCAUAAAAACACUAAUUAAUCAAUACAGUAUAAUACAGCAAGGGAGAUUAGAUGACUUUCCAAAGUCCGGGCUUCCCAUUCAGGGCCGAGAUCGCUCUGGAGAAGAAGCUGUUCUUAAGACGGCUCGUUCUUGUCUUCAUCGUCCUGUAUCUCCGUCCCGACGGCAAGAGCUCGAAGAGACAGUGACCAGGAUGCGAUGGAUCUUUUACUAUGUCCAGUGCCUUCCUAUGGCACCUUGUGGCAUAAAUCUGCUCUAAGGUGGAGAGUGGGCAGCCAACAAUGCUCUCUGCUGCCUUAACAACCCUGCACAACCCCAUCCUGUCCUGGGUAGUACAGCUUCCGUACCACACACAUAAGCCAUAAGUGAGCACGCUCUCAAUGGCACAGUGAUAGAAGGCAAGCAGCAGUUUCUGCGGAAGAUGGUUUUUCCUUAGUAUUCUCAAAAGUACAGUCUCUGCUGCGCCUUCUUCACAAGCCCCCUUGUGUUGACACUCCAGGACAGAUCCUCUUGUAAUUCAAUGCCCAAAAAUCUGAACGUUGUUACCCUCUCCACACAGACCCCAUCAAUCAAAAGUGGUUCACCAUGGCAACCAGCUGCUUCAUUUCCACUUGCGAUGAGCUGGGGGUGCCACUGGCCGCGGAGAAAACAGAGGGUCCAUCUACUUCAUUGGUCUAUCUAGGCAUUGAGUUAGACACCGUAGCCCAAACGUCCAGACUGCCUCGGGAAAAACUGUUAGCCCUUAAGGAAUUGAUACAACAGCUACUGCCUCUAAAGAAGGUUACUCUAAGGCAAAUUCAAUCCCUGCUAGGUCACCUAAAUUUCGCUUGUAGGGUAGUGGCACCGGGUCGACCUUUUUGUGGCCGUCUGGCCAGACUGUCGGCAGGUCUCAGGGCACCGCAGCAUAGGGUUCGCCUCUCUAAGGAAGUCAAGGCAGAUUUGGAAGUCUGGCUGCAAUUCCUCGAUAAAUACAAUGGCAUAUCCCUGUGGCAGGACUCCAUAGCACUCAAUGCUGACUUCCAAGUCCAGUCAGAUGCAGCAGGGUCCUUGGGUUUCGGAGUUUAUUUCAGGGGUCAGUGGUGUGUAAAAAGGUGGCCGGAAGACUGGCAGGGCCAGCCCAUUUCUUGGGACCUUACAUUCUUGGAAUUUUUCCCUAUCCUAGUGGCAGUACAUCUCUGGGCAGAGCAGUUUCGCAAUCAUAGGGUCUGCUUCAACACAGAUAACCAGGCAGUGGUAGUGGUUCUUUCCAGACAGUCCGCGCGCUCCUCUAGGGUGGGAAACUUGUUGCGGUCCUUCGUCCUCCUGUGUCUCGAGAACAAUAUAUAUUUCUCAGCCAAAUUCGUACCCGGCAUUAAUGACAUCGCAGAUGCUCUGUCUCGCUUUCAGAUGGAGCGCUUCCGCUCAUUAGCGCCGGAUGCGGAACAAUCAUCGAUGCCUUUCCCGGAGCAUCUCUGGAGUCUUGGGAGGAAGAAGUGAUGAAGGGAGUAUUCGGUGCAGUCGCCCCCUCCACAAUGAGAUCUUACAAGAAAGCGUGGGCCGACUUCCUAAAGUUCCGCAAUAAGUUUCCCAGCGCGAAACGGAACUCUGUUCCCUCAACGAGGGAGGUCCUCCACUAUUUAGCCCACCUGAAGGAACUGGGCAGGGCACCUAAGACUCUCAAUAUUCAGUCCGCAGGAAUUUCAUAUUUUUACAAAACCUUUUUCGCCACCGACCCGUGUGCUAAAUUUAUAGUAAGACUUUAGAAUGGUGGCACCGGCUGCAGCCCCCCAGCUCUGACAGGAGGAAGCCCAUAACUUUUGACAUUCUGACCCAGAUACACAAAAACUUAUGUGCAAUAUGCUGGUCAAAAUACGAAGCUCGCCUAUUCUCGGCUGCUUAUUCCAUAGCCUUCUUUGGGGCACUUCGCAUAGGGGAAGUGGUUUGUGAGGGAGGGGCUCUCCACGCCCAGAGGGGUAUCCUCUUAAGUGAUCUGACCCUGUCAACAAACGAGCUUAUAGUCCAAGUUCGGAGCUCCAAGACCGAUCAGCAGGGCAGGGGGGCCCUUCUACAGUUACCAGGAGUGCAAGGUAGUGGCCCCUGCCCGGUUAGGGAUACGAGGCAUUUCCUCUACCUAAGACCCAGUAGCCCAGGCCCCCUGUUAAUUCAUGCCGAUGGCUCGCCUUUGGCUAGGCACCAGUUUACACGGGUGAUGCGCAGGGCUUUGGCUGCAUGCGGGCUGCCUGCGGCCGAAUUUGCGGCUCACUCCUUUCGGAUCGGUGCUGCAACCGCUGCUGCGCACCUCGGGCUCUCCACGGAGAGGAUAAAGGAUCUGGGCCGGUGGAAAUCUAAUGCAUACAGAGCUUACGUAAGAAAGAAUCUAUGACUAGUGGGCGCGCGCCUGACCUCGGUUUCUCUGUCUAUUUGCUUUUCAGAAUGCCGAAAGGUACGCAUUUGAUUGGUGGGCCAUAGCAUCGUGCAUUGGGCCAGGCAGCGGGCAAUGAGUACCGGGCUGGGGAAAAACUUGAACUUACCUGCAGGUGUUCAGCUGACGUGGAUGGCGAGAAGAGGC